GGGGAUAUAGUUCAGGGGCAGAGCAUUUGACUGCAGACCAAGAGGUCCCUGGUUCAAAUAUGGGUGCCCCCU
This 72-nucleotide transfer RNA is filed under the name Oryctolagus cuniculus (rabbit). It matches the Rfam family "tRNA". From Rfam's summary of the family: Transfer RNA (tRNA) molecules are approximately 80 nucleotides in length. The record is from Rfam by way of RNAcentral. Lineage: Eukaryota; Metazoa; Chordata; Mammalia; Lagomorpha; Leporidae.